GUCUAUGGCCAUACCACCCUGAAUGAGCCCGAUCUCAUCUGAUCUCAGAAGCUAAGCAGGGUCGAGCCUGGUUAGUACUUGGAUGGGAGACCACCUGGGAAUACUGGGUGCUGUAGGCU
Delphinapterus leucas (beluga whale) is the source of this 119-nucleotide ribosomal RNA. Lineage: Eukaryota; Metazoa; Chordata; Mammalia; Artiodactyla; Monodontidae. The record is from Ensembl.